UAGUCAUAGUCACGUUCCAUGUUUAGAGUUAGUUCGCGCUGGAUUAUCCGCUUCCAGUUCCUCGUCAUAGUUCGUUUCUCGUUUUGAUUAUCGACCCUGUUUCCCAUGACCACGACCUAGAUUCCAGCCUUGCCCCGUGUAUGUCUGUUUGCCAAUCGCCUGACCUCUUGCAUGUUUGUGGAUUACGUUUUGGAUCACGUUUUGGAUUUGUCUGCCUGCCUCUCUUUCAAAUAAACAACUGUUUAUCCGGCACUUGCAUCCGUCCUAUCUCUGCUCCGUCACGAUUCGUGACAGAAUCUUCCGCCACAACAUGGAUGCAGCACGAGGACGAGAGAGAAGUCACGCCACAGAAACCAGGGAAGUAGUAGGACAAUACCUCAUCGGGGAACGCUCGGAUUACUGGCCGCAUUUUUCGUCCGUGCAAUUUCCCCAAAGGUACGCUGUUGAAUUGCCACCAGAGACAGCGGGAUUGGGGAGCUACCCGCUGGAGUUCCUCUUCAGCUGCCAGGAGUAUUUCUGCAGCUUGGCGUUUCCCAAGCCUACUAAGAGAGAGUGGCUCGGGUUCCUGGUGUCCAGGUUUUGCGGUCCGGCCCGUGACUGGGCGGAGCAGCUGGUGAGUGCUGGGUCGCCAGCCCUCCAUGAUGUCACUCAGUUUGCAGAGCUGUUUAUGGAGGAGUUUUCACAGCCUGGACAACUUUGUGGUCUUGAUUUACUAGGGUGGAGAGUCAAUGGACAGCCCCAGGUGGACCCACCAUUCAACCUCUAUUAUGAGGAGAUGGACAGGGCAGUAACCAGUGAUCCACUUCAGUUUCCAGACAACGCGGGGGCGAAAUCUCCGAGAUGUAUGACCAAGGGCUGCGGGAGAGAGACUCGGCUUCAAUGUCCCACCUGCAAGAAGCUGGGCCUCCAGGAAGCUUUCUUCUGCUCUCAGGAAUGCUUCAAGAGCAGCUGGCGGGAGCAUAAGAAACUCCACCGGAGAGCCCGUGCAGAGACCCAGCCCGGGAUCAACAGGGUGACCUCGGAGCGCCCGUCGGAGGUCAUAGCACCAGAGCUCAACCCUGAGGUCCAAGUCCCAGUCAAGUCUCAAGUCCCUGAAAUCCAAGUCCAAGUCAAGCCUCCAGGCUCUGAGGUCCAAGUCAAGCCUCCAGGCUCUGAGGUCCAAGUCAAGCCUCCAGGCUCUGAGGUCCAAGUCAAGCCUCCAGGCUCUGAGGUCCAAGUCAAGCCUCCAGGCUCUGAGGUCCAAGUCAAGCCUCCAGGCUCUGAGGUCGAAGUCCAAGCCAAGUCUCACGUCCCUGAGGUCCAAGCCAAGUCUCACGUCCCUGAGGUCCAAGCCAAGUCUCACGUCCCUGAGGUCCAAGCCAAGUCUCACGUCCCUGAGGUCCAAGCCAAGUCUCACGUCCCUGAGGUCCAAGCCAAGUCUCACGUCCCUGAGCUCACGUCCAAGCCUGCUGAUCCAGUUGACCAAGCUCUGCUAAUAUCUCAGCCUAAUGACCAAAUGCUGCUCACGCCCAAGUCUACCGACCUGGUCACCCAAGUUCUGCUCACGCCCCAGUCUGCCGGCACGCCCAGCCAAGUUCCGCUCACGCCCCAGUCUGCC
Long non-coding RNA from Ictalurus punctatus (channel catfish), 1597 nucleotides. The record is from Ensembl. NCBI's taxonomy places the organism in Eukaryota, Metazoa, Chordata, Actinopteri, Siluriformes, Ictaluridae.